UGGGAUGCUGGGAAGGCCCCCCAUGCAAAGAAGAAGGAUAAAUACCUGGCUUCUUCUUUCACCCCCAUCUGCAUCUCUCACCAUUACCUCUAAUUGGCCAAACCCAACUGGAAUCCAGUGGCAAGAAAGCUUGGAAAAUAUAAUUUUCAAGGUUCAGCGCCCCCCCCUCAACACACACACACUGCAGAGCAGAGCAGAGCAGGGGAAGGGCAGGGAAUAAAUCUGAGAGCAACAGGCAAAUGACCCAAACAGCGAACAGCAUGUGAGAUGAAUCUUUAGAGUCCAUGUGUGACAUGAAUGCACAAGAAUGCACAUGUAUAUUCUGCUAUCACUUGCAGAUGUGUGUGCAUGGAGAAUGUGCAUGUGUGUGCUUUAGUGACUGUUCAAGGGUAUGUAUGCAUCAGAUAGAUUUCAGGGGUUUGUGUAACUAUGUGAGAAGAGCAAGCAUCCAAGGGUCUGUGUGUGAUGUGAACAUUCAAGGGUAUGUGUGUGUGUGAUGAGAAUAUUUAAAGCUCUCGGUGUGUGUGCUGUGAAUGUUCAAGGAGGUGGAUGUGUGCUGUGCAUGCUCAAAGCUAUGUGUAAGAUGCUGGUGAGAAGAAACGGGGAUGGGAAAAAGGAAAUGUACGGAAGUGUUCUCUAUGGACCCAGGAGAAGACAGGGCUAUGUGUCUUCGUUGGGGACAGAUGUGUAGUCCAAACUUUUCUUUCUCAUCUAUGCAGAGAAAAUUGUAUAUGAGGUGUGACUAUAAGAAACAUACGUUUUGGAGUUCCCGUCGUGGUGCAGUGGUUAACGAAUCUGACUAGGAACAAUUAGGCUGCAGGUUCGAUCCCUGGCCUUGCUCAGUGGGUUAAGGAUCCAGCGUUGCCACGAGCUGUGGUAUAGGUUGCAGACAUGGCUUGGAUCCUGUGUUGCUGUGGCUGUGGUGUAGGCUGGCAGCUACGGCUCCUAUUCAACCCCUAGCUUGGGAACCUCCAUAUGCCGCAGAAGUGACCCUAGAAAAGGCAAAAAGACAAAAAAAAAAAAGGAAAAAGAAAGAAACAUACAUUUUUGGCAAAUGUACUUUUCCAUCCAAUUGUCAUCUGCUUCAAAGCAGUCAUCUUUAAAAGUUACAUACUUAUUUUACUGAUAGAGCCAUAGCUCAACAAUGUUUCAGGCCCUGCUUUCAGUUGUUGGUGUGCCAUCCUUAAAAUCUACAAUCAUCACAUAUUCUUACUGGCUAAGGCUGGAAUUACCCAACUUUAUCAUUUAAUCACUCUCAUCACUGGCCUGACUUAGAAUUUUUCCAAAACUCAAAUCUCUCGCCUUAAAAAGAAAAAUGCUAACUUGUCACCUUUGAGGUCAAGCCUCCUCUGGGUAUGUUGGUUAUCUGGGUAUAAGCUUCAUUGCUUGCUUAUUAGCUGCUACAGAUGGGCAUGUACAGGGAGCUACAUAAACAACUGGGAACCAAAUGAAUAACACAGAAUCACAUCAUGCGCACAUUUGACUUUUAUGAAUUCAGAUGAUUAUACUGGGACUUUUAAAGGGGAGACUAAAAUCUGUAAAUAGUGCAGGAAUUUCCAUUGAUGAGCGUGCUGUUCCCAGGGUGCCCACUCUGGAGCGUGAGACGGGUGAAGCAACUCCAACUUGGACCCUGAAUGCCUAUCUUUGUGUGAGCAUCCCAUAAUACUGUGACUCUGAAUCUCCUUCAUAGUCUCCCAAAUUGCCCCUAUUCUGGGCCUUUCCUGGGGAGUGGGUGUUGUAGAGAACAGACCUGCAGUCCUAGUAUUUUAUACCAUACAGCCACUAAACACAAGCCAACUAGUUAACCUUGCGCUCAACCAAUAGACUAUGAUUGGUUCAAUCUCUGGAGGAAACACUGACCCUGCUGGGUUUCCCCAACAGACCUGUGUCCAUCACAAAGGUCACACCUUCCUAAGGGAGGGUUCAGUAGUAACUUGACUGUUCAUGAUCUGUGCCUUAUGCACCAGACUUGAGAAUUCAGCCCCCAGGUAAGAUGUAACUCUGCUAUAACAAGACAUCAUGGAACUCAUUUUCUUGCCUUCAGACAAAACUACCUUAAGGCUGUCCUGGACAGUUAUGAAUGUAAAGCCCUGUAAAAUACUGCUCAGCAUUCCAGCCCCACAGAACUUACUUCAGGUCUCUGUGGACAAGUACUCCUCUACUGCUGCUCCCAGCUCACUCCUUAUUCCUCUGGCCUCAGUUUAACCAUGUCUGUGUCUGCCCAGGAGGCCCUCUCUGAGCCCCUGGCCUGGCUGGGCACACAGCACAUAUGUCCCCAUAGCACAGUCCCCUUUGCUGGUUGAUGGGUCCACCUCCUGCCCAGUCCUAAGCACUAAACCAACAGGAGGACACUGGCUAGGUGAGUUCUGACCACUUUAUCCCCAGCAUCUGGUAGUCAAACUACUGUUUCCAUGCAUAUUUGUUGAAUGGUGACUGGAAUGCUUCAGAAAUCCACUUUAAUGCUUAAAAAUCUUAAAUGUCAAGGAAUUCCCCCCAUGCUCUAUUUUCCCAAAAUUCCACUUGCUGCAAUUCAAGCUUAGUGCCUCUAAAUCAUCAAAGGAGACUGGUCCAUCAGGACUCUCGUCAUUCUCUUCAAGUUCAGCAGCUUAAGUCUCUUCCUUCCCAUUGUUCUCCACUCCAAAUCCUCUUCACGUGCCCAGUUCAGGCCUUUCUAGGGCCUGCAGUGGGUCCCUCUUCGGUGACAGGUGUAGGAAUUCUGAUACAAAGGCAAUCGGUCAGGCAGCACAAGGCAGUGAUGGCCUUAGAAUCACAGUUCUGGAUUCAAAUCCUGCCUCCAUCACACAUUGGCUGAGUACCUUCACCUCCCCAAGCUUGUCUGAUAAAAACAUGGGAUAAAACCAUGAGUUAAAGAUACUGCAAGGGGCUGACAAAAGAAUCAGGAGAGGCGGGGCACACGAACAAGCCCACAUCUGUCCCAGCCCAGAGCAAGGGUCCAAGGGCUCUGCGGAGCCUGGACAAGAAGCCUCCCCAAGGUGGGGCCCAAGGCCAGGCCCUGUGAGGCUGCAAGAGACUAAGUGGUUGACAAAUCCUGCCCCUUGUGGUGCCCAUGCAAAUGAGCCCCACCUUCCCCCCACCCCAUGUCCCACCCCUGAGGCCUCGAGCAGGGUUUCCUAUUCUGGGGGUACCCCCUCUCCUAUUCCUAGCCCUGCUACCCCAAGGCUUCCUGAUGUGUCCUCCCAACCCUUAGUCCUGGUGUUCUCUAUCCUCAAAGAGCCCUACCCUCAAUGGUCCCCAUCUAACUGUAUUAGGGCCUUUUUCUCCCUCCUGGGCCAAAGAGAACCUGAGGGUCUUUCCCCCCACCUCUGUCCCUGAUAGCAGGUGUGCACGUGUGAAUGAGUGUGCAUGUGUACACACACGCCUAUUCUUUACUCUGGGCUACCAAUGCUCUCCUUGGCCAUCCCUUCCCCUGACCACUGGGGACAAGCCAGGGGCAGCCCCUCAGCUGCAGCCAAGUCUCAUUGCCUGGAUCUGCCCCUGAGUCUUUACAGAGACACCUACCUGGAUACUUAUGGAAGCAAGGACAAGAACAGCCUUGUCCUUCACUUCCCGUGGUCUCAAGCACUGACAUUCUAAGGCAGGUGGAGUGGCAGCCUGAAGGGACUGGCUAUAAUCCAGGCUUCUAGGAAAUAAAGCAGAGCUGCCCUAAGAUUUCAGGCAAAAGGCUUUAACUUGCUGUGUGUGCUUGCAGCUUAGUCAGCUGUGAGUUCUUGGCUUGUCGAACCUACAGCCACGCCGCUCUUCCCCUGCUGGGGUAGUAAAAUGGGUCAGCAAGUCCAUUCUGGUUUGAGUGCACCCUCAGCCUGUGACUAAUGUGGCUCUGGAGUUCCUGGCCAGGGGGAAAACACGGCCAACCAGAUGGAUGUGGCUAUGGGACUGACUGCCAUCUACCCAUUCUAAGAUGGGCCAAAGGAAUCUAUUAAUGUCCAAAUCACCCAUGUUCCUCUCCAAACAGGUCAGAAAUGCUUGGUUGUCACAUGCAUAACCUGGAAAAAGCAUCAACGGGAGUUGUAAAAGCUAAAGAUGAUACAGAUGAACUCCGGAGAAUUUAAGAGCCUAAAUAUGUCAGAAGGAAGGAAACAUUUACUGAGUGUUUAUAACAAGCCAUGCCUGGUGUUAAGUACUUUCACAUAAAUUAUCACACUACCUGAGAAAUAGUAUCAUGUUCAUGUUACAUAUGACAAAAAAUAAGUUAAAAACGGUUAAGAACUAACUUUGUACAUAGACCUGAGGUCAAAUUACUAGGGAGUAACUCUAAGCAAGUUAACUAACCUCUUUGGGUCUAUUUUCUCAUCUGCAAAAUAGGAGUAACAACGUCUGCUCUUUGGUUUAAAUAGAAAUGUAUGUUGUGGGUACCGGCUCUAGCCCAGCUCCUGUGACUCACGCCACUGUGACAGUAGUUAUAAUUUGCCUAAGGUCAUAAACCAGAUUCACACCCAGGUUUUCUGAUUUCCAAGUUCAGUGCUCAUGGGGAAAGCAGCGGAUUCACUUAAGUACUUCAUGAAUAUGGUCAUGAGGCAGACUCUACCCUAGGAUUGGGAAGUUAAGCAUGGGAGCCAGACCAAGAACUCAUUGUUCUAUGAAGUGUUAAGUGCAGAAGCGUGUUCAAGGUGUAGAAAUGGUCCACCAGGAGGGGUGUCUUGGGGAUACAUUAUCAGGGAAACAAGUUUAUAAAAGCGGUGAUGUUUUCUCCAUAGUCCCCGCAAGAGGGAAAAAUAGAUGUGACUGGAAAUCACUGGUGAAGUAACCAGGAGGGAGCUAAACCUCUGUAGAAAUCUUCUAGGAGCUGGGUGGCCUGUCUUAUGUUUUACACACACACACACACACAUUAACCUUUCUCUCCUUUGGCACACAAACCACCUCAAAUUGAACUCCCAAUACCCACAGCACACACAAUACUCUCCUCCCACUGCUUUCUCUGAGGACUCCCAUCCCCGAACAUCACCUUCUACUUUGCUCCCUGGCAAUCUCCCCACCAAGAAUACACUAGAAACAGGUUUUCAGUCAUGUUUGGCAGCCAAUGCAAGAUUCAGACUGGCACUCAGCAUAUACAGUCAUUUCUACUAUGAUGCUAAAAACACCUGCAUUCUGCAAAAUCACACUCCCAAAACAACAGAGAGGGAAGGGGGUUGGAGCACACCCCUGAAAACCUAUAGAAUUUUGUAGCCAGGGCACUAACAAAACAAAAUCCAGUUUCACAAUGAUGCUAAUGCAUUUGAACCCCAACUGGCAUGUACACUGGUCCCUUGCAGCCUUAAAUCCUUGGGUUUCCAUCUUCUUCCUGAGAUGCCGGUCCUAGCAGAGACCUUUCAUCAAAAUCAAAAAUGUAAUCCAGGAUAGAGCCUUCUCCAUCAGUUUUGUAAAACAAAGCAGGGGUGGGGAAAGGGUGGGGUCCUCCCUUUCCACUCAGUUGCCCCAGAACACGGUGGCAAAGCUUAACACUGUGGCAAAGCUAGGAGUGAGUCUUGAAACUACCAAACUAGCCACUACUUGCAAUUUUUUUUAAGGCUCUUGUAUGCAAUUUUCAGCUUUUUUCUUAUGAUGUUCUAUCCUAUCCCUGAUCACUUCAAAUUAUUAAUGUCUGAAGAAAACCUCACAGGAAUCAACCUAAUUUCUGGUUAUCCUGACACCAUUUAUCUACUUAGCAAUUUCAUACAUGCUAUUUCACUUCAAAGAAACAACUCUGUAACAAAACAGACCAUCUUUUGAAUGUCAUUAAGAUUCUGGUAUCAGCCCCAAUGUGUGGGGUUUCUCCCCCCACCAAGUAAUUCUCAGACAUCAGCUGGGUCUCCUACGAAUGAAGGCAAUUCUGGCACUAUCUACCUAAAGACAGCAUUGAAUCCCAAGGGUCAAGGGUCCAUCCAACAGGACUCCUCCUCUCUCCACUUCAGUCAUCAAGUGCAAGUCCAAGCAGACACCUAUGCUUCUGACCAACUCACUAUAAAACAGAGCUUCUGAGAUUCCCUUUCUUGGGUGCAAUUCAUUUGCUGGGGUGGUUCAGAGAACUCCAAGAAAUAUUUUACUCCCUAGGUCACUGGUUUAGGAUAAACCUCAGAAACAGCUACAUGGAAGAGGCAGAAGGCAAGGGAUGGGAAAGCUUCAUGCCCUCUUGCAGUGCAUCACUCCCCCCAGGUCUCCUGUGCUCACCAACCUCAAUGCUCUCCAAACUCCAUCCUUUAGGGCUUUAUAAGCCUAUGGGCAUGAAAGAGUACAUCAUUAGCCACUGGUGACUGAACUCAACCUCUAGCCCCACUCUCCUCCCAGAGGUCAGGGGCUGAAGAAGCAAGUUCCAGCCAUCUAAUCACAUGUACAGCCCUCAUCCUUAGGUUAUCAAGGGACUUUGCAAGUCACCUCAUUAACCUAACAAGACAUUUAUGCUCUCAUCACAGGAAAUUCCAAAGGUUUUAUGAGCUCUGUGCCAGAAAUGAGGAUGACGACCCAAUAUAUAUUUGUCAUAAAGAAACAUGCCACCUUCAGGAAAAUAGUCACCAUCUCACCCUGGUGAUUCCUCCCUUUCCAGGUCAGAGGUCCCUGAGGUGAACAUGCAAUGCAGUUCACAGACACGAUUCACUCCCAAAGCCAGAAAAAGAAAUGCACUCCUGUUCCUCUGGCUGCCCUCACCCUCUCCCACUGCCCAGGCUUCACUCCAAAGCUGCCACUAUGGCCCAGGAAAUCAACACGCCUCAGCUGGGCAUCUCCCUCUGGAUGGAGCAAAAGGGCACGGGCAGGAGGUGCAGAGGGAGGGACUCUGAGGACAAGGCACCUCCACUUGAUCAGAGAGCAAUUUCCCUGACCCUGUGUAAGAACAUGAGGCUACCUCUGGUGCAAAAACCCCAUUUCACAAACUAAUGUCACAUAGGCCGGUCUGUUUAACCCAGCAGGCCCUUUCUCUUGAUACCAUAAGUUUAACAGGAUCCAAGACUGCAGUCUUGCUACUGGAAUCACCAUUCUGGGCAGAAAGAGGCAUACCUGGGACCCUCCCUCUCUUCAUUUAGCAAAUGCUCACUAGGUUGAGUGCAAGGCACGGGACCAAUGGCUACCCAGGCUGCACAGUGAGGGGUGGAGCGCCCCAGUUCAGAGGCGAGAGAGCGGAUUCUCCUCCUAUGCCAUUAGUUAUCUGCAGAAAGACUCUCAGCCAAUCACACCUGGCCAUGACCCCCAACCCCUCUUUCUAAAUGGAGAUUAACAGGCUAACUUUAUUUCACAUGACUGUUUGAAAACAUAAAUGGUUAAGUCCUUUUAAAAUAUAAAAUGUUUAAAAGAUGAAUGAAUGGGGAGUUCCCAUUGUGGCUCAGCAGAAACAAAUCUGACUAGUAUCCAUGAGGAUGCAGGUUUGAUCCCUGGCCUCACUCAGUAGGUUAAGGAUCGGCAUUGCCAUGAGCUGUGGUGCAGGUUACAGACACGGCUUGGAUCUGGCGUUGCUGGCUGUUGCAUAGGGUAGCAACUACAGAUCCAAUUCAACCCCUAGGCCUGGGAACCUCCAUAUG
Molecule: long non-coding RNA, 7505 nt
Filed under: Sus scrofa (pig)
Lineage: Eukaryota; Metazoa; Chordata; Mammalia; Artiodactyla; Suidae
Description: lncRNA (ENSSSCG00000062037.1)
Source: RNAcentral